RNAcentral lists this small RNA (76 nucleotides) under Flavobacterium sp. S87F.05.LMB.W.Kidney.N. Its description in RNAcentral is "Flavo-1 RNA". It matches the Rfam family "Flavo-1 RNA". Lineage: Bacteria; Pseudomonadati; Bacteroidota; Flavobacteriia; Flavobacteriales; Flavobacteriaceae. The record is from RNAcentral.
AUCUAGCCCCGAUAGAAACGAUAUCCUUUUGCGGCGGGGUUCGCCGCAAAAGAUAUAGUGAAUAGCGGGACUAAAG